AUGGUAUGUACUGGCUUUACUGAUUCCUCCUUCUUGAAGAACUGUAAUGUCAUUAAUUUGGUGUUGCAGGGAAACAGGACUGUUACUUUGAAAAAAUUAGAGUGUUUAAAGCAGGCUAACGCUUGAAUACAUUAGCAUGGAAUAAUGAAAUAGGACGUUCGAUCCUAUUUUGUUGGUUUCUAGGAUUGACGUAAUGCUUAAUAGGGAUAGUUGGGGGCAUUAGUAUUCAAUUGUCAGAGGUGAAAUUCUUGGAUUUAUUGAAGACUAACUACUGCGAAAGCAUUUGCCAAGGAUGUUUUCAUUAAUCAAGAACGAAAGUUAGGGGAUCGAAGACGAUCAGAUACCGUCGUAGUCUUAACCAUAAACUAUGCCGACUAGGGAUCGGAUGAUGUUAAUUUUUUAAUGACUCAUUC
This 413-nucleotide ribosomal RNA is filed under the name uncultured Glomeromycotina. Its description in RNAcentral is "SSU rRNA". It matches the Rfam family "Eukaryotic small subunit ribosomal RNA", at positions 670 to 1081 of the family's 1831-position model. Lineage: Eukaryota; Fungi; Glomeromycota. The record is from RNAcentral.